UUGGUACGGGAGGCAGCAGUGGGGAAUAUUGCACAAUGGGGGGAACCCUGAUGCAGCCAUGCCGCGUGAAUGAAGAAGGCCUUCGGGUUGUAAAGGACUUUUGUCAGGGAAGAAAAGGAUAGGUUAAUACCCUGUCUGAUGACGGUACCUGAAGAAUAAGCACCGGCUAACUACGUGCCAGCAGCCGCGGUAAUCCAA
Molecule: ribosomal RNA, 198 nt
Filed under: uncultured bacterium
Lineage: Bacteria
Description: partial 16S ribosomal RNA
Rfam family: Bacterial small subunit ribosomal RNA
Source: RNAcentral